UACGAAGGGUGCAAACGUUGCUCGGAAUCAUUGGGCGUAAAGCGCACGUAGGCGGCCUGUUAAGUCGGAUGUGAAAUCCCUCGGCUCAACCGAGGACGUGCAUUCGAAACUGGCAGGCUCGAGUAUGGAAGAGGGUCGCGGAAUUCCCGGUGUAGUGGUGAAAUGCGUAGAUAUCGGGAGGAAUACCAGUGGCGCAAGCGGCGCCCUGGCCGUGACCUGACACUGAGCCACGACGGCGUGGGGAGCAAACGGG
Molecule: ribosomal RNA, 253 nt
Filed under: uncultured bacterium
Lineage: Bacteria
Description: partial 16S ribosomal RNA
Rfam family: Bacterial small subunit ribosomal RNA
Source: RNAcentral